Molecule: long non-coding RNA, 2835 nt
Organism: Homo sapiens (human)
Lineage: Eukaryota; Metazoa; Chordata; Mammalia; Primates; Hominidae
Gene: SCN1A-AS1
Product: SCN1A and SCN9A antisense RNA 1
Source: Ensembl
ACAUAACGAAGCACCAGUGCUGGGGAGCUCUCUGAAUGUCAUCACCAGCAAGAGCAAGAAGUAUUGGCAGCAGCAGGCAGCCAGGCAGGCUGGGAGUUUGCAUGGAAAUCAUGAAGUCUUUCUUGUCUUCCUCUUUUGAAAUAUUUUGGAAGGCGAGUUAAGAAUAGCUCAGAAACUGGUCUCAUUCUUUUUGUGGGAAGAAUGACCAGAAGCAUAAAAGCUAAGUCUUCCAGCAAGUGCAAGACACCUCUUUUGGUGUUUGCAGUAAACCUAACAAGAAUGAAUUGCUAUCAGUAAAGUCCUGUACCAUGACACCUAAAAGGAAGGAAAUGGUAAAGCAAAGUAAUAACUCAAAGACAGUCACCGAGGGCUUUUGUCCACCUUUAACUCAUUGUGGAACUUGACAUCAUCAGACAGUAAAUCAAGAGGUACUGACAACUGAGACUGAGUGAUGGUCCCUGCCUAGGAUUUGGAAUCUUUGCAUGAAAUAGGGACUCUAGCCACCAGCGACAAAGAAGUCAGGGAGACUGCGGUCUCUAGGAAGCACUUCCAGGAAACAGGAAUUCAGGCAAAGUUGGACAUUCCAAAGAUGGCGUAGAUGAACAUGACCAGGAAGAGCAGGAGGCCGAUGUUAAACAACGCAGGAAGGGACAUCAUCAAAGCAAAGAGCAGCGUGCGGAUCCCCUUUGCUCCUUUGACUAGACGUAGGAUUCGGCCAAUCCUGGCAAGACGGAUCACUCGGAACAGGGUAGCAGAGAUCUCUGGAGGUGAAACAUUGCUCUGAACUGGCAUUGAUUCUAGCCCAGCUCUUGUAGACCAAUUACCAACUUCUCCAUCUCCCUCCAGUGCCUGGAACUGGACCUGGCACACAGGCAAAGGGUUAUCAACUGUGCUGCACUCUGAGGAGCUUGACCGGUUUAAUCUCUAGAAAGGAAUUCACCACCCCACCAGACACAAUGAAGAUGAGGUCAUUGUGUGGGUCCAAAUCCAAUAUAACUGGGGUCCUUAUAAGAAGAAAAGACCGAGACACACAGGGAGAAAACUACCCUUUAGACUAAAAAGAAAACAAAUAUUACAUACCCUGAAUCUGUGCUGAAACCACAAAGGAGAGCAUCUUUGGAUCCUUCCAAGUAAUAAAAAUAUUCUGUUGAAGAAGAAUUUGAACAGUUAUAACAUCACAGACUUUAAUCUGUGAUUGUGAUAAAGGAGGUCAAAUUAAAAAAUCUGAUUAUUGGGAGACUUUUGGAGUAAUCAUGGAAGAAAGACUAUGAAAUCAGAUAUUCUUGGAUUUGAAUGUUGCUUCUAUCCCUUCUUAACUUAAAUCCAUGGGCAUUCAUUAUCAUCAGUGCCUAACCUGGCAGAACCACAGUCUACACAUAAUCUGGCAUCUGUCUUUUCCAUGCUGGCUACCAAAUGGCUGAAUGUUGGUGGAGAAACUCUCACAACCAAGUGAAUGGUUAUAUUUUAAGUAAGUAAUCUCCAACAUCAAAUUUGCACUCAAAAUACACUAAAUUUCUCAUGCCCUGAUAUGACCAUAUAUAUAAUGCAUUCUCAUCAAAUCAUCUGUAGAAUUUUCUCUUCCUCAUUUGCACUCUCAGGCAAUGAUCCCAUCUUAUACUUUGAGGAAAUAAAAACCAUUGGGUUUGAACUCAAUCAUCUUUUGAUAACUCUGCAGUCUUCUCUUCUAUCUUUCCUCCUGUUUCGGUGGAGCUGUCGCUCCCCUUUACUCUUUCACUUUCACGAGGACUUGACUUCUCCCUCUCUCUCCUGAAUUGAUUCAUAUAUAACUACUCAUUCAUUAUCACUAGCAAAACAUCCAUACAAAAACCCAUAUAUUUUUUUAAAUGCCAGCCAUUUGCCCCAUUAUUCUGCUUCCCUUUAUAGCCAAAUUUCUUGGGAGAAUUGUCUACACAUAUUACCUUCUUUCUGACCUCUUCUUUUCACCCCUGUAUGCACCUUAUUCUUACCUUGAACCCUACCACUUACCCAAAUUUUCUCAAGAAAUUCUCUGAUGACUUCCCUGUUACUUAACCUAAUGCAUAUUUCUUUCUUCAUCAUCCUUACUCCUUGAUCUUGCAGCAUGAUUCUACACAAGCACAUCUGUUUCUACAAUAUGUUUUCUUCUCUUGGCUUCAUUAUUUAUAUCUUUGCUUCUUACUUUAUUGGCGGCUCUUUCUCUGUGUUCUUUUCUGGGUCCUCUUUUCUACCUGAAUUCUAAAUGUCAGAGUUGUAGAUCUUGGUACCAGAUUGCUUUAAAUACCAGGUUUCCCAUUCUCUAUCUACUUAAAAAUAUCAGGGAUGUUCAGAGGUAGAGGUGUGUGUGUCCUUUCUUUUUGCUGAUUGCUCUGGAAUUUAUCUCCAAACUCAGCAGGCCCUCUGAUUUCUAUACUUAAAUCUCCAAUUCUCUAUAUUAUAUAUCCACCUGGACAUCUCAAAGGCAUCUCAUUUUAAUUUUAGCUAGCUAAUAGUGACCUUCCUCUACAAAUGUGUCCACCAUUUCCUCAUUAACCAUCACCACCCAUCCAGUUAUUGCAGCCAGAAACUGAGAAGUCAUCCUCAAUGCUUCCUGUCUUCUUUAAUCCAUCAGCAAGCUCUACAGACUUUGUAUGUUGAGCUCAUCUUUUUUCUCUUCAUUUCUCUGCCAUCACUCUAGAUGAAACCUUUAUUUUCUCUUGCCUAGAUGAGAGAAGCAACCUUCAACUUACCUUUCUUAUUCCCAUCUACCAUCUACCCUUGCUCAAUCAGUUGUGCACAAGACAGACAGCAAUAAAAAUGACUGCAUUUAAAAUAAAAUACAAACUCCUUCCCAUGGGCUGAAAUGUCCUGCAUGAUAUG